Molecule: long non-coding RNA, 616 nt
Filed under: Bos taurus (domestic cattle)
Lineage: Eukaryota; Metazoa; Chordata; Mammalia; Artiodactyla; Bovidae
Description: long non-coding RNA NONBTAT024867
Source: RNAcentral
CUUUUGUUGGAUCUAUUAUAUGGUGUGUAGAUUUAAAGGGGAUAGCAGUGCCUAUAUUUUUCAUCAUUUUUCUUAGAUGUACAGUACCAAAUAAUAGCUGUGCACUCUUCCUAAAUUUGUGCUAGGAUUCUCAAAAAAAGAAAAAAAGAUAUCUUAAGUAGUGUAGGUUUAAGUUGGCAGCUUUUAUGAAGUCAUCUGAGGGAAAGACCCAUUGCUGCAAGUGUUUCUUUGGUUUCUCCUUAUCUGAAUUUUUGCCAUUACAGCUUCAUUCUUUGGGGUAAAGGGUUGUAGAACUGCAGCCUAGUUUUAUAUGUUAGCAGGCAAGCUCUAAGAAUACAAAGUCCUUGCCCAUGUGGAGGCAAAUAGAGAAAACUUGGAACAACCAUUAUGAAGUGGUGAAAGAGAUCUCUGAAGAAAAUUUGGAGAGCAGAUUUGAAAUAUAUAAGAAACCAUCAGAAUGCAUAGAAAUGUGUGCCCCAUGAAGGAGAUUGAGUGUUCUAGUUGAAGAGUAUCAGACUGAAUGAAGGUGUGAAUGAAACACACUGGUGUGUGUUGAUAAUCUUAAGGUAAGAAAAAAAAUUUACAGUCAUCUGAAAUUAGUUUGAAGUGUUAAAUU